Molecule: ribosomal RNA, 300 nt
Filed under: uncultured Methanosphaera sp.
Lineage: Archaea; Methanobacteriati; Methanobacteriota; Methanobacteria; Methanobacteriales; Methanobacteriaceae
Description: bacterial SSU rRNA
Rfam family: Bacterial small subunit ribosomal RNA
Source: RNAcentral
AGUAACGACGUGGCAGGGUCGUGGGUAAUACGUAGGGGGUAAGGGGUUACCGGAUUUACUGGGGGUAAAUGGAGCGAAGACGGAAUGAAAAGUCGGGAGGGAAAGCCCGCGGCGCAAGCGCGGGACUGCUUUGGAAACUGCCAUGCUGGAGUGUUGGAAGGGUAAGUGGAAUUCCUGGUGUAGCGGUGAAAUGCGUAGAUAUCAGGAGGAACACCGGUGGCGAAGGCGACUUACUGGACAAUAACUGACGUUGAGGCUCGAGAGCGUGGGUAGCAAACAGGAUUAGAUACCCCUGUAGUC